RNAcentral lists this ribosomal RNA (675 nucleotides) under uncultured Alphaproteobacteria bacterium. RNAcentral describes it as "bacterial SSU rRNA". It matches the Rfam family "Bacterial small subunit ribosomal RNA", at positions 34 to 755 of the family's 1533-position model. The record is from RNAcentral. Lineage: Bacteria; Pseudomonadati; Pseudomonadota; Alphaproteobacteria.
CCCGUGGCGGCAGGCUACACCUGCAGUCGAACGGAUCUUCGGGAUUAGUGGCGGACGGGUGAGUAACGCGUGGGAACAUACCCAAAGGUACGGAAUAGCCUCGGGAAACUGAGAGUAAUACCGUAUGUGCCCUUCGGGGGAAAGAUUUAUCGCCUUUGGAUUGGCCCGCGUUGGAUUAGGUAGUUGGUGGGGUAAUGGCCUACCAAGCCGACGAUCCAUAGCUGGUUUGAGAGGAUGAUCAGCCACACUGGGACUGAGACACGGCCCAGACUCCUACGGGAGGCAGCAGUGGGGAAUCUUAGACAAUGGGGGAAACCACUGAUCUAGCCAUGCCGCGUGAUCGAUGAAGGCCUUAGGGUUGUAAAGAUCUUUCAGUUGGGAAGAUAAUGACGGUACCAACAGAAGAAGCCCCGGCUAACUCCGUGCCAGCAGCCGCGGUAAUACGGAGGGGGCUAGCGUUAUUCGGAAUUACUGGGCGUAAAGCGCACGUAGGCGGAUUAGAAAGUCAGAGGUGAAAUCCCAGGGGCUCAACCUUGGAACUUGCCUUUGAAACUCCUAGUCUUGAGGUCGAGAGAGGUGAGUGGAAUUCCGAGUGUAGAGGUGAAAUUCGUAGAUAUUCGGAGGUACACCAGUGGCGAAGGCGGCUCACUGGCUCGAUACUGACGCUGAGGUGCG